Molecule: ribosomal RNA, 253 nt
Filed under: uncultured bacterium
Lineage: Bacteria
Description: partial 16S ribosomal RNA
Rfam family: Bacterial small subunit ribosomal RNA
Source: RNAcentral
UACGAACUGUGCAAACGUUAUUCGGAAUCACUGGGCUUAAAGGGUGCGUAGGCGGCUUGCUAAGUAGGGUGUGAAAGCCCCCGGCUCAACCGGGGAAUGGCGCCCUAAACUGGCGAGCUAGAGUGAGAUAGGGGUGUGCGGAACUUCCAGUGGAGCGGUGAAAUGUGUUGAUAUUGGAAGGAACGCCUGUGGCGAAAGCGGCACACUGGGUCUCAACUGACGCUGAGGCACGAAAGCCAGGGGAGCAAACGGG